This 492-nucleotide ribosomal RNA is filed under the name uncultured bacterium. RNAcentral describes it as "partial 16S ribosomal RNA". It matches the Rfam family "Bacterial small subunit ribosomal RNA", at positions 29 to 507 of the family's 1533-position model. The record is from RNAcentral.
AGUGAACGCUGGCGGUAGGCCUAACACAUGCAAGUCGAACGGCAGCACAGUAAGAGCUUGCUCUUACGGGUGGCGAGUGGCGGACGGGUGAGGAAUACAUCGGAAUCUACUUUUUCGUGGGGGAUAACGUAGGGAAACUUACGCUAAUACCGCAUACGACCUACGGGUGAAAGCAGGGGAUCUUCGGACCUUGCGCGAUUGAAUGAGCCGAUGUCGGAUUAGCUAGUUGGCGGGGUAAAGGCCCACCAAGGCGACGAUCCGUAGCUGGUCUGAGAGGAUGAUCGGCGACACUGGAACUGAGACACGGUCCAGACUCCUACGGGAGGCAGCAGUGGGGAAUAUUGGACAAUGGGCGCAAGCCUGAUCCAGCCAUACCGCGUGGGUGAAGAAGGCGUUCGGGUUGUAAAGCCCUUUUGUUGGGAAAGAAAAGCAGCAGGUUAAUACCCCGCUGUUCUGACGGUACCCAAAGAAUAAGCACCGGCUAACUUCGUG